This 398-nucleotide ribosomal RNA is filed under the name uncultured bacterium. Its description in RNAcentral is "bacterial SSU rRNA". It matches the Rfam family "Bacterial small subunit ribosomal RNA", at positions 29 to 409 of the family's 1533-position model. The record is from RNAcentral.
AACGAACGCUGGCGGCGUGCCUAACACAUGCAAGUCGUGCGAGAAAGUUCCUUCGGGAGCGAGUAAAGCGGCGCACGGGUGAGUAACACGUAGGUAACCUGCCCCCCAGUCUGGAACAACUAGAGGAAACUCUAGCUAAUGCCGGAUGAGACCACGAUCCCUUCGGGGGUUGCGGCCAAAGAUGGCCUCUACUUGUAAGCUAUCGCUGAGGGAUGGGGCCUGCGGGCCAUUAGCUUGUUGGUGAGGUAACGGCUCACCAAGGCUGUGAUGGCUAGCUGGUCUGAGAGGAUGACCAGCCACACUGGGACUGAGACACGGCCCAGACUCCUACGGGAGGCAGCAGUGGGGAAUAUUGCGCAAUGGGCGAAAGCCUGACGCAGCGACGCCGCGUGGGUGAU